CGGGACGGGGUGGAGUAAUGUCUGGGAAACUGCCUGAUGGAGGGGGGUAACUACUGGAAACGGUAGCUAAUACCGCAUAACGUCGCAAGACCAAAGAGGGGACCUUCGGGCCUCUUGCCAUCGGAUGUGCCCAGAUGGGAUUAGCUAGUAGGUGGGGUAACGGCUCACCUAGGCGACGAUCCCUAGCUGGUCUGAGAGGAUGACCAGCCACACUGGAACUGAGACACGGUCCAG
Molecule: ribosomal RNA, 234 nt
Filed under: uncultured bacterium
Lineage: Bacteria
Description: partial 16S ribosomal RNA
Rfam family: Bacterial small subunit ribosomal RNA
Source: RNAcentral